CUCUUAUCAAGAGUGGCGGAGGGAACAGGCCCGAUGAUGCCCGGCAACCAGACAAAUGUUAUGGUGCUACAUCCUGCAAGUGUAAUCUUGAAAGAUGAGAG
Regulatory RNA element from Phascolarctobacterium sp., 101 nucleotides. It matches the Rfam family "SAM riboswitch aptamer (S box leader)". From Rfam's summary of the family: The SAM riboswitch is found upstream of a number of genes which code for proteins involved in methionine or cysteine biosynthesis in Gram-positive bacteria. The SAM riboswitch acts at the level of transcription termination control. NCBI's taxonomy places the organism in Bacteria, Bacillati, Bacillota, Negativicutes, Acidaminococcales, Acidaminococcaceae. The record is from Rfam.